RNAcentral lists this ribosomal RNA (468 nucleotides) under uncultured bacterium. Its description in RNAcentral is "partial 16S ribosomal RNA". It matches the Rfam family "Bacterial small subunit ribosomal RNA", at positions 28 to 507 of the family's 1533-position model. The record is from RNAcentral.
GACGAACGCUGGCGGCGUGCUUAACACAUGCAAGUCGAACGGAAAGGCCCUGCUUUUGUGGGGUGCGCGAGUGGCGAACGGGUAAUUAACAAGUGAGUAAUCUGCCGUUGACUACGGGAUCACUUCAGGAAACUGGCGCUAAUACCGGAUAGGAGCUCCUGCUGCAUGGUGGUUGUCGGAAUGUUUGGGCGGUUGGGGAUGGACUCGCGGGUUAUCAGCUCGUUGGUGGGUUAGUGGCUUACCAAGUCUUGGACGGACAGCCGGCCUGAGAGGGUGACCGACCAGAUUGGGACGGACAUACGGCCGAGACACCUUCGGGAGGCAGCAGUGGGGAAUAAUGAACAAUGGGCGGAAGCCUGAUGCAGCAACGCCGCGUGCGGGAUGACGGCCGUCGGGUUGUAUGCCGCCUUCGCCUGUGACUGAGCGUGAGUGACGGUAAUGAGUGAAGAAGCAACGGCUAACUACGUG